This 1760-nucleotide long non-coding RNA is filed under the name Nicotiana tabacum (common tobacco). Its description in RNAcentral is "long non-coding RNA (NTAB_LNC007478)". The record is from RNAcentral. Lineage: Eukaryota; Viridiplantae; Streptophyta; Magnoliopsida; Solanales; Solanaceae.
AUCUUAAAGAAUUGGCGUGGAAUCUUUUCAAGGAGAUGAAAGAUGCUGGUUGUUCUCCCGAUGUUUAUACCUAUAAUUUAUUUCUUGAUGAACUUGGUAAGUCGGGGAAGAUUGAUGAACUUUUUGAGCUGUACGAGGAAAUGCUCCACAGAGGAUGUAAGCCGAUCACGAUAACUUACAAUAUUCUCAUUUCUGGUUUGGUGAAGUCUAAUAAAGUAGAGAGAGCAAUAGAUUUGUACUAUGAUCUUGUAAGUCUAGGCGUUACACCUACUCCUUGUACAUAUGGUCCUCUCAUAGAUGGGCUAUUGAAGGUUGAAAAUUUCGACAAAGCAAAGGACUUCUUUGAGGAAAUGGUGGACUAUGGAUGCAGACCUAAUUGUGCUAUCUACAACAUUCUCAUAAAUGGGUUUGGGAAAGCAGGUGAUCUUGAAGCCGCUUGUGACCUCUUUAACAGAAUGAAGAAAGAAGGAGUUAGACCGGAUUUAAAGACUUACACCAUUCUUGUAGAUUGCCUAUGCACUGCAGGGAAGGUGGACGAUGCUCUGCACUACUUUGAGGAACUGAAGUCAGCUGGCCUUGAUCCUGAUUUGAUUUCUUACAACCUUAUGAUCAACGGAGUCGGGAAGUCUGGUAAAAUGAAGGAAGCAUUGUAUCUUCUUGAUGAGAUGCAAAGCAGAGGAGUUACCCCAAACCUUUAUACCAUAAUUCCUUAAUACUCAAUCUUGGGAUUGCUGGAAUGUUGGAGGAGGCCGGAAAGAUGUAUGAAGAACUUCAGCGGCUGGGUCUUGAACCCAAUGUUUUUACAUAUAAUGCUCUUAUUAGAGGGUACAGCAAGUCCGGUGAUCCGGAUGGUGCAUAUGCCGUUUAUGAGAAGAUGAUGGUUGGGGGUUGUAGCCCCAAUACUGGGACUUUUGCUCAGCUACCUAAUUAAAGCCGGUCCCUUCUUUAGGUUCUUCUUUCAAAGUGAGGCUUCUGAGAUUGAGUUCCUAAACUCCACCUCGGGCUGCUAAGGUAUUUCUGUGCAUGCUAAAUAUUCAGGCGAGCCUGCUGAAGAAUUUAAAUUAUUUCUGUGCAUGCUAAAUAUUCAAAAUAUGCUUGCCAAAAGAAGUUUUUCAAGGCAUAAUUGCUAUAUUUUCUUGUUCCUCAAAUCAUCGCGUACCCUCCUCUCCAAUUUUUGGUGUUUCCUUUUCCAUUACAGAACAACAAUACGUACAAGCUAGAAGUUAUUAUCUUGUCAAAAAUGAUAGUUAGCUUGGCUAAACUGUUAACCUUAAUUUCCUUUUCUUUUCUGCAGGGCUUACUUCUGCUGAUCGGACGUUGUUAUUUAAAAAGAGAGGUAGAGUUUAUUCACUUGUCUGCAGCUCUUAGAUGUGUGCCAGGUUUGUUAGGCUCUGCUGUGCACCUCAAAGGCUUCGGAAUUCAUUUGUAAGGCGCUCUGUAAAUUCCAAAAUGUCUAUAUAAAGUGUCAAUAUUUGAUUGUUGUAGGUUUAUCCCUGUGCAUCUUGUAAGAAUAGUCAACAGUCUUAGCAAUAACUGUAGCAUCUCUUAUGCUUGGUCAGAAUACAUGGUUCCAAACUGUAGAUAACCAGCCAAUGUGGAGGGAAAACUCUUACUAAAGUUUUGAUUCGUUCUUCGAUUUGCAAUGUUAGUCUUGCCAAGAAAUGUAGAGAUCUCCCUACAUUGUGUUUUAAAGUGUACCAACUGCUGUUCCAAUGUAUCUCUUAUCAUCGAUUCAAUUCAGUUUUUCGAUUCAACUUACA